UACGUAGGGGGCUAGCGUUGUCCGGAAUCAUUGGGCGUAAAGCGCGCGUAGGCGGCCCGGUAAGUCCGCUGUAAAAGUCCAGGGCUCAACCCUGGAAAGCCGGUGGAUACUGUCGGGCUCGAGUCCGGAAGAGGCGAGUGGAAUUCCUGGUGUAGCGGUGGAAUGCGCAGAUAUCAGGAGGAACACCGAUGGCGAAGGCAG
This 201-nucleotide ribosomal RNA is filed under the name uncultured bacterium. RNAcentral's name for it is "partial 16S ribosomal RNA". It matches the Rfam family "Bacterial small subunit ribosomal RNA", at positions 524 to 724 of the family's 1533-position model. The record is from RNAcentral.